AAGAGAAGAGAUGGCCUCGGCCUUCAACAUCCAAAAAUGUAGUAGCAAGACAAGUCUGGACGAGUCUGAAGAUAACUAGAAGUUCAAGGCCCUGCAUGACCCCUGACAUUGAUUAUUUGAAUGAGAGUCAAUCCACAAACAAAGCAGGAAUUUUGGUGAAAUUUUAGGACAAAAUGACCCAGACUGAGGCAGUGACCCCACUAUGCAUGGCCUCAAGAACUAGAUCUCCAAAACUGUAUAUGGGGAUUGUGUUGUGUGGGAGGCAGAGGAACGUCCUCCCCAAAAUGUCCACAUCUUAAUCCCUGGGGUCUGUGAAUAUGUUGGGUGGUAAAGGGGAAUUAAGGUGGCAGAUAGAAUUAAGGUUGCCAAUCAGCUGGCCUCAAGAAAGAAGAUUAUUCUGGAUUAUCCAGGUGGGCUGAAUGGAAUCAUAAGGAUCCUGAAAGUGGAAGAGGAAGGCAGAAGAAGAAUCAAUGUCAGAGUGGUGUGAUGUAAGAAAGAAUGACCAGCCAUUUCUGACUUUGAACAUGGAAGGGAGUCAUGAGCCAUGAAAUGCAGGCAGCCUCUGGAAAUGGAAGAGCCAUGGAAACAGAUCCUUCCCAAGUCUUCAGCAAGAAUACAGCCCUGCUGAUACUUUGAUUUUAGUCCAGUGAGAUCCAUCUCAGAUUUUUGACUUACAGAGUUGUA
This is a long non-coding RNA of Hyaena hyaena (striped hyena), 684 nucleotides long. RefSeq lists it as uncharacterized. The record is from RefSeq and is a predicted model, not a curated record. The transcript has 3 exons. Lineage: Eukaryota; Metazoa; Chordata; Mammalia; Carnivora; Hyaenidae.